CGGAUGUGGCGAAAUUGGUAGACGCACCAGAUUUAGGUUCUGGCGGGAGACCGUGGGGGUUCGAGUCCCUCCAUCCGCACCA
Molecule: transfer RNA, 82 nt
Filed under: Brucella vulpis
Lineage: Bacteria; Pseudomonadati; Pseudomonadota; Alphaproteobacteria; Hyphomicrobiales; Brucellaceae
Description: tRNA-Leu
Rfam family: tRNA
About the family: Transfer RNA (tRNA) molecules are approximately 80 nucleotides in length.
Source: RNAcentral